UAUAUACUAUUAUAGAAGUAUUUAUAUUGUCUUUUCAAUAUGUUUGGAAUUGUAUCCACAAAUACAGUCAGAGCUUCCCAUUUCUAGUUGCAAAAGGUUUGUCCUAAACUCAAUCGACAUCACUUAUGUUUUAGAAGUCUGGUGAGAUGGGCAUUAUAGAUACAAUAUUAGCAUUUAAGGAAAUACUUAAGGGAGAUGGACAGAGAAAGAGACAGCUGGUGUAAUCAAUUACUCUGCUCAAUUCUGCUUCAGUUUUUAUGUUGUGUUUCUUCUUAAGGUGAAAUAGCAUAAUCUUAAUUUCUUAGAGAUGAAGUUUCUAAGUAACACACUACCAGCAGGUUCAACAUUGCUAGUAAUUUUAAUGUUUUUUCUGUUCAUUUGAUAACUUUAAUUCCAAGUUUUACAAUAAUAUCUAUAUAUUAUUUGGCUGCUGAAUCCUGUUACAGUUUUUUUUUUUUUUAAUUCUGUUGUACAUUAUAUUAUACACAUCAUUACAAAUUAACAUGAAGGGGAAUAUAUAUUACAUAUCAAAAAUUGUGAAUUUGAACUCUAGUAUGUGUUAGUGCUUUUGCAAAAAUGUUUAUUUUUAUAAUAUCUGUGAUUUUAAUAUAGGUAAUUGAACUAGAUUUCUUUGUGAUGAAUAGUGCCAUUGAAUGACUGGUAUGGAAACAGUGUUACUUGACAUUUUGUGCUUUCUCAGGUUUAUCUAUAUCAAUGGUAGCUUAACAGAUUCCAGACUAAUUGUGCAUAAUUGUGUUUUACAAGGAAUGUACAUUUCCUAUAAGUUUGCAUGCAGGAGUGUACAACUUGGAGUGUGUGUGUGUGUGUUCACAGCAUGGCAGCCAACUUUGUAUCUGCUGUUGAUAAUAACAGCAGAGCUUUGGUAUAAUCGUGGUCAUUAGAAUUAUACCUACCAUAGACAAUGAAAACCGAAAAAGUCUCAAUAAAACUAUGAAAUGUG
RNAcentral lists this long non-coding RNA (961 nucleotides) under Bos taurus (domestic cattle). RNAcentral's name for it is "long non-coding RNA NONBTAT001264". The record is from RNAcentral. Lineage: Eukaryota; Metazoa; Chordata; Mammalia; Artiodactyla; Bovidae.